This 66-nucleotide transfer RNA is filed under the name Parastacus brasiliensis. Its description in RNAcentral is "tRNA-Lys". The record is from RNAcentral. Lineage: Eukaryota; Metazoa; Arthropoda; Malacostraca; Decapoda; Parastacidae.
CUCUAGAUAACUUUUUUAGUUUAGGCCUUUUAAGCCUAAAACAGUAGCGGGGGCUACUUCUAGUGA